CAGCGUUGGGUCGCGGUGGCUGUGAGGGCGGAAGAAAAGGCCAGGCUGAGGGGAGGGUGGAGGGUGAAAAGCUCGGAUCUGUGUUUGGGGAAGGCCAGGCUUGCGCUCCUGGCCGGGUUCCGCGAAGGGAACCUUGGCUGACUUGGCUCGCGAGCAAAGGGCAGCGUCUGAGCUCCCGGCGUUCCAGGAGUGGCCUCUUGUAGGAGCACCUGAAAUGCAGCGUCUGGUGCACUAAGCCGUAGCGGCAGCAGCAGCCACAGCGACAGCGCUGGGGCCCUGUGUAGAAGCUCCAUCCCCCUUGUCUUUGUGCUUGCCUGCGUCCCCAGACUCAGAGAUUAUCUUAGAAGACCUAGGACUCCAAAAAUGUUUCCCCUGAAGGACGCUGAAAUGGGAGCCUUUACCUUCUUUGCCUCGGCUCUGCCACAUGAUGUUUGUGGAAGCAAUGGACUUCCUCUCACACCAAAUUCCAUCAAAAUUUUAGGGCGCUUUCAAAUCCUUAAAACCAUCACCCAUCCCAGACUCUGCCAGUAUGUGGAUAUUUCUAGGGGAAAGCAUGAACGACUAGUGGUCGUGGCUGAACAUUGUGAACGUAGUCUGGAAGACUUGCUUCGAGAAAGGAAACCUGUGAGCUGUUCAACGGUUUUGUGUAUAGCAUUUGAGGUUCUUCAGGGCUUGCAGUAUAUGAACAAACAUGGUAUAGUACACAGGGCAUUGUCUCCUCAUAAUAUCCUGUUGGACCGAAAGGGACAUAUUAAAUUGGCUAAAUUUGGACUUUAUCACAUGACAGCUCAUGGUGAUGAUGUUGAUUUCCCAAUAGGGUAUCCCUCAUACUUGGCCCCUGAGGUAAUUGCACAGGGAAUUUUCAAAACCACUGAUCACAUGCCAAGUAAAAAACCAUUGCCUUCUGGCCCCAAAUCAGAUGUAUGGUCUCUUGGAAUCAUUUUAUUUGAGCUUUGUGUGGGAAGAAAAUUAUUUCAGAGUUUGGAUAUUUCUGAAAGACUAAAAUUUUUGCUUACUUUGGACUGUGUAGAUGACACUUUAAUAGUUCUGGCUGAAGAGCAUGGUUGUUUGGACAUUAUAAAGGAGCUUCCUGAAACUGUGAUAGAUCUUUUGAAGAAGUGCCUCACCUUCCAUCCUUCUAAGAGGCCAACCCCAGAUGAAUUAAUGAAGGACAAAGUAUUCAGUGAGGUAUCACCUUUAUAUACCCCCUUUACCAAACCUGCCAGUCUGUUUUCAUCUUCUCUGAGAUGUGCUGAUUUAACUCUGCCUGAGGAUAUCAGUCAGUUGUGUAAAGAUAUAAAUAAUGAUUACCUGGCAGAAAGAUCUAUUGAAGAAGUUUAUUACCUUUGGUGUUUGGCUGGAGGUGACUUGGAGAAAGAGCUUGUCAACAAGGAAAUCAUUCGAUCCAAACCACCUAUCUGCACACUCCCCAAUUUUCUCUUUGAGGAUGGUGAAAGCUUUGGACAAGGUCGAGAUAGAAGCUCGCUUUUAGAUGAUACCACUGUGACAUUGUCGUUAUGCCAGCUAAGAAAUAGAUUGAAAGAUGUUGGUGGAGAAGCAUUUUACCCAUUACUUGAAGAUGACCAGUCUAAUUUACCUCAUUCAAACAGCAAUAAUGAGUUGUCUGCAGCUGCCACUCUCCCUUUAAUCAUCAGAGAGAAGGAUACAGAGUACCAACUAAAUAGAAUUAUUCUCUUUGACAGGCUGCUAAAGGCUUAUCCAUAUAAAAAAAACCAAAUCUGGAAAGAAGCAAGAGUUGACAUUCCUCCUCUUAUGAGAGGUUUAACCUGGGCUGCUCUUCUGGGAGUUGAGGGAGCUAUUCAUGCCAAGUAUGAUGCAAUUGAUAAAGACACUCCAAUUCCUACAGAUAGACAAAUUGAAGUGGAUAUUCCUCGCUGUCAUCAGUAUGAUGAACUGUUAUCAUCACCAGAAGGUCAUGCAAAAUUUAGGCGUGUAUUAAAAGCCUGGGUAGUGUCUCAUCCUGAUCUUGUGUAUUGGCAAGGUCUUGACUCACUCUGUGCUCCAUUCCUAUAUCUAAACUUCAAUAAUGAAGCCUUGGCUUAUGCAUGUAUGUCUGCUUUUAUUCCCAAAUACCUGUAUAACUUCUUCUUAAAAGACAACUCACAUGUAAUACAAGAGUAUCUGACUGUCUUCUCUCAGAUGAUUGCAUUUCAUGAUCCAGAGCUGAGUAAUCAUCUCAAUGAGAUUGGCUUCAUUCCAGAUCUGUAUGCCAUCCCUUGGUUUCUUACCAUGUUUACUCAUGUAUUUCCACUACACAAAAUUUUCCACCUCUGGGAUACCUUACUACUUGGGAAUUCCUCUUUCCCAUUCUGUAUUGGAGUAGCAAUUCUUCAGCAGCUGCGGGACCGGCUUUUGGCUAAUGGCUUUAAUGAGUGUAUUCUUCUCUUCUCCGAUUUACCAGAAAUUGACAUUGAACGCUGUGUGAGAGAAUCUAUCAACCUCUUUUGUUGGACUCCUAAAAGUGCUACUUACAGACAGCAUGCUCAACCUCCAAAGCCAUCUUCUGACAGCAGUGGAGUCAGAAGUUCGGCACCUUAUUUCUCUGCUGAGUGUCCAGAUCCUCCAAAGACAGAUCUGAAAAUACAUUAACAUAUACUCAUGCAAUCAUCUGCAUACCUACUCUUAAAUAAGAAGAAAUCUUUUUACAUGUAGGGAAGGAGAACGGCAAACAAAUUCCUAGACAGAGAUUGAUAUGGUUUGACUGUGUUCCCACCCAAAGUCUGAUCGUGAAUUGUAGUAAUUCCCAUGUGUCAAGGACAGGACCAGGUGGAGUAAUUGAAUAAUAGGCGCAAUUUCCCCUAUACUGUUCUCAUAAUAGUGACUGAGUUCUCAUAAGAUCUGUUGAUUUUCUAAUGGACUUCCUCCUUUGCUUGGCUCUCAUUCUCUUUCUUGCCACCAAGUAAAGAAGGACAUGUUUGCUUCCCAUUCUACCAUGACUGUAAGUUUCCUGAAGCCUGCCAAGCAUUGCUGAACUGUGAAACCUCUUUCCUUUAUAAAUUACCCAGUUUGGGGUAUGUCUUUAUGAGCAGUAUGAGAACAAACUAAUAUAUUAAAUAGGUACUGGUACAGUUGGGUGCUGCUAUAAGGAUACCGAAAAUGUGGAAGUGAUUUUGGAACUGGAUAACAGGCUGAGGUUGGAACAGUUUGGAGGGCUCAGAAGAAGACAUGAAAAUAUGGGAAAAUUUGGAGCUUCCUAGAGACUUGGAAUACUCAGAAGACAGGCAGAUGUGGGAAAAUUUGGAACUCCCUAGAGACUUAUUGAAUGGCUUUGACCAAAAUGCUGAUAGUGAUAUGGAUGAUGAAGUCCAGGCUGAGAUGGUCUCAGAUGGAGAUGAGGAACUUUUUGGGAACUGGAGUAAAGGUCACGCUUGCUAUGCUUUAGCAAAGAAACUGGCAGCAUUUUGCCCCUGCCCUGGAGAUAUGUGGAACUUUGAACUUGAGAGAGAUGAUUUAGGGUAUCUGGCAGAAGAAAUUUCCAAGUGGCAAAGUAUCCAAGAGGAAGCAGACCAUAAAAGUUUGGAAAAUUUGCAGCCUGAUGAUGUGAAGAAAAGAAAAACCCAUUUCCUGGGGAGAAAUUCAAGCCAGCUGCAGACAUUUGCAUAAGCAGUGAGGAGCCAAAUGCUAAUCACCAAAGCAAUGGGGAAAAUGUCUCCAGGGCAUGUCAGAGACCUUCACAGCAGUCUCUCCCAUCAUAGGCCUGGAGGCCUAGGACAGAAAAAUGGUUUCCUAGGCUGCUGCUAUUCUGUGCAGUGUCAGAACAUGUUCCCCUGUGUCCCAGUGACUUCAGCUUCAGCUGUGGCUGAAAGAGGCCAAGGCACAGCUCAGACCCUUGCUUCUAAGGGUGUAAACCCUACACCUUGCAGUUUCCCACAUGCUGUUUGGCCUGUUGGUGCAUAGAAGUCAAGAAUUGAGGUUUGAGAACCUCCACCUAGAUUUCGGAGGAUGUAUGGAAAUGCCUGGAUAUCCAGGCAGAAUUUUGCUGGAGAGGCAGAGCCCUAAUGGAGAACCUCUGCUAAGGCAGUGCAGAAGGGAAAUGUUGGGUCAGAACUCCCACACAGAGUCCCCACUGGGGCACUGCCUAGUGGAGCAGUGAGAAGAGGGCCACCAUCCUCCAGACCCCAGAAUGGUAGAUCCACCAACAGCUUGCACUAUGCAUCUGGAAAAGCUGCAGACAGUCAACACUAUCCUAUGAAAGCAGUGGAAAGUGGGGCUGUAUCUUGCAAAGCCACAGAGGCGGGGCUGCCCAAGGCCGUGGGUGCCCAUCUCUUGCAUCAGCAUGACCUGGAUGUGUGACAUGAAGUCAAGGGAGAUCAUUUUGGAGCUUUAAGAUCUGGCUGCCCUGCUGAAUUUUGGACUUGCAUGAGGCCUGUAGCCCCGUUGUUUUGGCCAAUUUCUCCCAAUUGGAAUGGGUAUAUUUUUCUAUUGCCGGUACCCCCAUUGUAUCUAGGAAGUAACUAACUUGCUUUUGAUUUUACAGUCUCGUAGGUAGAAGAGACUGCUUUGUCUCAGAUGAGACUUUGGACUGUGGACUUUUGAGUUAACCCUGAAAUAAGGCUUUGGGAGACUAGAAAAGGCGUAACUGUGGUUUGAAAUGUGAGGACAUGAGAUUUGGGAGUGGCUGGGAUGGAAACAUGUAAUCUAACUUUUAAAUAAAUGGAAUCAUAGCA
This is an RNA transcript of Gorilla gorilla gorilla (western lowland gorilla), 4688 nucleotides long. It is a transcript of the gene named TBC1 domain containing kinase, with no coding region annotated. The record is from RefSeq and is a predicted model, not a curated record. Lineage: Eukaryota; Metazoa; Chordata; Mammalia; Primates; Hominidae. The transcript is spliced from 25 exons.